UCAUCAAAGCUUGCUUUGAUGGAUGGCGACCAGCGCACGGGUGAGUAACACGUAUCCUCCCUAAAGGCGACACUGGGAUAGNCUUUCGAAAGAAAGAUUCCUUUCGGAUGGCAUAAUUAUUCCGCAUGGGAUGAUUAUUAAAGAAUUUCGGUUGUCGAUGGGGAUGCGUUCCAUUCGGCAGUUGGCGGGGUAACGGCCCACCAAACCAACGAUGGAUAGGGGUUCUGAGAGGAAGGUCCCCCACAUUGGAACUGAGACACGGUCCAAACUCCUACGGGAGGCAGCAGUGAGGAAUAUUGGUCAAUGGACGAGAGUCUGAACCAGCCAAGUAGCGUGAAGGAUGACUGCCCUAUGGGUUGUAAACUUCUUUUAUACGGGAAUAAAGUUAGCCACGUGUGGCUUUUUGUAUGUACCGUAUGAAUAAGGAUCGGCUAACUCCGUGCCAGCAGCCGCGGUAAUACGGAGGAUCCGAGCGUUAUCCGGAUUUAUUGGGUUUAAAGGGAGCGUAGGCGGGUUGUUAAGUCAGUUGUGAAAGUUUGCGGCUCAACCGUAAAAUUGCAGUUGAUACUGGCGACCUUGAGUGCAACAGAGGUAGGCGGAAUUCGUGGUGUAGCGGUGAAAUGCUUAGAUAUCACGAAGAACUCCGAUUG
Molecule: ribosomal RNA, 650 nt
Filed under: uncultured Bacteroides sp.
Lineage: Bacteria; Pseudomonadati; Bacteroidota; Bacteroidia; Bacteroidales; Bacteroidaceae
Description: bacterial SSU rRNA
Rfam family: Bacterial small subunit ribosomal RNA
Source: RNAcentral